CCUACGGGAGGCAGCAGUGAGGAAUAUUGGUCAAUGGGCGCGAGCCUGAACCAGCCAAGUCGCGUGCGGGAUGACGGUUCUAUGGAUCGUAAACCUCUUUUGUAAGGGAGUAAAGUCUGGUACGUGUCCUUUUCUGUAAGUAUCUUAUGAAUAAGGAUCGGCUAACUCCGUGCCAGCAGCCGCGGUAAUACGGAGGAUUCAAGCGUUAUCCGGAUUUAUUGGGUUUAAAGGGUGCGUAGGCGGCCUGUUAAGUUAGCGGUGAAAGUCUGUGGCUCAACCAUAGAAUUGCCGGUGAAACUGGUGGGCUUGAGAGUGUUUGAGGCAGGCGGAAUGUGUGGUGUAGCGGUGAAAUGCUUAGAGAUCAUACAGAACCCCGAUUGCGAAGGCAGCUUGCCAAGCCAUGACUGACGCUGAGGCACGAAAGCGUGGGGAUCAAACAGGAUUAGAUACCCGAGUAGUC
This 460-nucleotide ribosomal RNA is filed under the name uncultured bacterium. Its description in RNAcentral is "partial 16S ribosomal RNA". It matches the Rfam family "Bacterial small subunit ribosomal RNA", at positions 338 to 795 of the family's 1533-position model. The record is from RNAcentral.